CAUGCCUGUUCGCUAAAUAUUCCGGAUAAUCAAUGGGCACAGAGAAACGCUGUCAAUCCUGACCAAAUGAAAUUUUGAGGUAUCAGCAAGGUUCAAAAAAAUCAAUGUAAAAACUUCCUAAAAUCAAUGUAAAUACAAAUGCUCACUGAGGUGUCUCAGGACCAGGUCGAUGAGGCGGGGGAGUCUGACACUGUUUUGUACAGUGCAAUCACAGCGCUGGGGAUGGCAUCGAUAAUGUCUCAAACCCCAACCGAGGAUGGGGAGGUCUACUCGCAAAUCACCAGUGGAACAUUGGAGUGCGACCAACAUCUACGUAGCCACCCGUCUUUCACCCGCCCGUGUGCAUUGUUGGAAAUGAGAAGGUAACGGAGCACCAUCUUCUCAUCUGAAAGCCGUGGAUAAAGGUCUCAGCAGGAUCAUUGACAACGGAACGGGGCCAGAGUCGAUAGAAAUCCUGUGUUUAUCACCAUAGCAGUUGCUUCUCCAUGACGCAGUGUAUGGGGGAAGACCAUACACCAGGCUUCCUGAUUGGAGGAAGAGUGAAUAAAUUGA
This is a long non-coding RNA of Stegostoma tigrinum, 552 nucleotides long. RefSeq lists it as uncharacterized. The transcript is spliced from 3 exons. The record is from RefSeq and is a predicted model, not a curated record. Lineage: Eukaryota; Metazoa; Chordata; Chondrichthyes; Orectolobiformes; Stegostomatidae.